GAGCGUACGGUGGAUGCCUUGGCACCAGGAGCCGAUGAAGGACGUAGGAGGCUGCGAUAAGCCUCGGGGAGCUGUCAACCGAGCUGUGAUCCGAGGGUGUCCGAAUGGGGAAACCCAGCACGAGUGAUGUCGUGUUACCUGCAUCUGAAUAUAUAGGGUGUGUGGAGGGAACGUGGGGAAGUGAAACAUCUCAGUACCCACAGGAAGAGAAAACAAUUGUGAUUCCGUGAGUAGUGGCGAGCGAAAGCGGAGGAGGCCAAACUUUGUGCGUGUGAUACCCGGCAGGGGUUGCGUAUGGAGGGUUGUGGGGUUUGCAUGUGAUGGUUCUGCCGGACUGUCCGACAGUGAGAAAUCAUGGUGUUAGUCGAAGUGGUCUGGAACGGCCUGUCGUAGAGGGUGAGAGUCCCGUAGACGAAAACAUUGUGACUGUCGAGUGUGGAUGCCCAAGUAGCAGCGGGCCCGUGAAAUCUGCUGUGAAUCUGUCGGGACCACCCGAUAAGCCUGAAUACUCCCUGGUGACCGAUAGCGGACUAGUACCGUGAGGGAAAGGUGAAAAGUACCCCGGGAGGGGAGUGAAAUAGUACCUGAAACCGUGCGCUUACAAUCCGUCAGAGCUGGUGCACCACUUGUGGUGGCUGGUGAUGGCGUGCCUUUUGAAGAAUGAGCCUGCGAGUUAGUGGCAUGUCGCGAGGUUAACCCGUGUGGGGUAGCCGUAGCGAAAGCGAGUCCGAAUAGGGCGUAUCACCGUUUGGUGUGUAGUGGCGUGUUCUAGACCCGAAGCGGAGUGAUCUACCCAUGGCCAGGUUGAAGCGACGGUAAGACGUCGUGGAGGACCGAACCCACUUAGGUUGAAAACUGAGGGGAUGAGUUGUGGGUAGGGGUGAAAGGCCAAUCAAACUCCGUGAUAGCUGGUUCUCCCCGAAAUGCAUUUAGGUGCAGCGUCACGUGUUUCUCAUCGGAGGUAGAGCUACUGGAUGGUCUAGGGGGCUUACCGGCUUACCGAAAUCAGCCAAACUCCGAAUGCCGGUGAGUGAGAGCGUGGCAGUGAGACUGCGGGCGAUAAGGUUCGUAGUCGAGAGGGAAACAGCCCAGAUCGCCAGCUAAGGUCCCUAAGCGUGUACUAAGUGGAAAAGGAUGUGGGGUCGCGAAGACAACCAGGAGGUUGGCUUAGAAGCAGCCACCCUUGAAAGAGUGCGUAAUAGCUCACUGGUCAAGUGAUCCUGCGCCGACAAUGUAGCGGGGCUCAAGUACACCACCGAAGCUGCGGCACUCACACAACAGCCCGCAUCGUUCCUACGGGGAUGGUGCCAGGUGUGUGGGUGGGUAGGGGAGCGUCGUGCAGCCGUGGAAGCAUCGGGGUGACCUAGGUGUGGAGGCUGUGCGAGUGAGAAUGCAGGCAUGAGUAGCGAAAGACGAGUGAGAAACUCGUCCGCCGAAUGACCAAGGGUUCCUGGGCCAGGUUAAUCCGCCCAGGGUGAGUCGGGACCUAAGACGAGGCCGACAGGCGUAGCCGAUGGACAACGGGUUGAUAUUCCCGUACCCGUGUGAACGCGCCCCUGGUGAAUCAGUGAUACUAACCGCCCUGAAUCCCGGUGACGGAUCUCUUUCGAGAGUGAUGCGCUGGGUGGAUGCGUGGGACCUGAUCUGGUAGUAGCCAAGCGAUGGGGUGACGCAGGAAGGUAGCUGGGCCAGUCAGUGGUAGUACUGGUGUAAGCCUGUAGGGCGAGACAUAGGCAAAUCCGUGUCUCAUACAAGCCUGAGAGGUGAUGCGUAGCCGAUUGAGGCGAAUUCAGUGAUCCUAUGCUGCCGAGAAAAGCCUCUAGCGAGCUUUCACACGGCCCGUACCCCAAACCGACACAGGUGGUCAGGUAGAGAAUACUGAGGCGAUCGAGAUAACUAUGGUUAAGGAACUCGGCAAAAUGCCCCCGUAACUUCGGGAGAAGGGGGACCUCGUCCGGUGAUCAUCCUUGCGGUGUGAGCUGGGUGGGGUCGCAGAGACCAGUGAGAAGCGACUGUUUACUAAAAACACAGGUCCGUGCGAAGUCGUAAGACGAUGUAUACGGACUGACGCCUGCCCGGUGCUGGAAGGUUAAGAGGACCGGUCAACUGCACUUGUGUGGUGAAGCUGAGAAUUUAAGCCCCAGUAAACGGCGGUGGUAACUAUAACCAUCCUAAGGUAGCGAAAUUCCUUGUCGGGUAAGUUCCGACCUGCACGAAUGGCGUAACGACUUCUCAGCUGUCUCAACCAUAGACUCGGCGAAAUUG
This 2265-nucleotide ribosomal RNA is filed under the name Nocardia seriolae. RNAcentral's name for it is "23S ribosomal RNA". It matches the Rfam family "Bacterial large subunit ribosomal RNA", at positions 15 to 2044 of the family's 2925-position model. The record is from RNAcentral. Lineage: Bacteria; Bacillati; Actinomycetota; Actinomycetes; Mycobacteriales; Nocardiaceae.